Molecule: ribosomal RNA, 253 nt
Filed under: uncultured bacterium
Lineage: Bacteria
Description: partial 16S ribosomal RNA
Rfam family: Bacterial small subunit ribosomal RNA
Source: RNAcentral
UACGAAGGGGGCUAGCGUUGCUCGGAAUUACUGGGCGUAAAGGGCUCGUAGGUGGCCAACUAAGUCGGACGUGAAAUCCCUCGGCUUAACCGGGGAACUGCAUCCGAUACUGGAUGGCUUGAGUUCGGGAGAGGGAUGCGGAAUUCCAGGUGUAGCGGUGAAAUGCGUAGAUAUCUGGAGGAACACCGGUGGCGAAGGCGGCAUCCUGGACCAACACUGACACUGAGGAGCGAAAGCCAGGGGAGCAAACGGG